RNAcentral lists this ribosomal RNA (497 nucleotides) under uncultured bacterium. RNAcentral's name for it is "partial 16S ribosomal RNA". It matches the Rfam family "Bacterial small subunit ribosomal RNA", at positions 28 to 507 of the family's 1533-position model. The record is from RNAcentral.
GAUGAACGCUGGCGGCGUGCCUAAUACAUGCAAGUCGAGCGAACAGACGAGGAGCUUGCUCCUCUGACGUUAGCGGCGGACGGGUGAGUAACACGUGGAUAACCUACCUAUAAGACUGGGAUAACUUCGGGAAACCGGAGCUAAUACCGGAUAAUAUAUUGAACCGCAUGGUUCAAUAGUGAAAGACGGUUUUGCUGUCACUUAUAGAUGGAUCCGCGCCGCAUUAGCUAGUUGGUAAGGUAACGGCUUACCAAGGCAACGAUGCGUAGCCGACCUGAGAGGGUGAUCGACCACACUGGAACUGAGACACGGUCCAGACUCCUACGGGAGGCAGCAGUAGGGAAUCUGCCGCAAUGGGCGAAAGCCUGACGGAGCAACGCCGCGUGAGUGAUGAAGGUCUUCGGAGCGUAAAACUCUGUUAUUAGGGAAGAACAAAUGUGUAAGUAACUAUGCACGUCUUGACGGUACCUAAUCAGAAAGCCACGGCUAACUACGUG